RNAcentral lists this ribosomal RNA (303 nucleotides) under Triticum aestivum (bread wheat). RNAcentral describes it as "partial small subunit ribosomal RNA". The record is from RNAcentral. Lineage: Eukaryota; Viridiplantae; Streptophyta; Magnoliopsida; Poales; Poaceae.
AUGACAGGAUCCAGAGUCAAUUCAUGGGCUUUGUCGAUCGCGGGAGACGUGCCACCACCUUUGCAAAUACCACAACCGUCACGAGAGGUGCACAAACGUCCAAAUGCACAUGAUCAGGUUAAUGUAUCUAUACCACCAUUUAAUGGCCGUUUUAAACUUGCUUUAUAUAUUGAAUGGGAGUUCGACAUAAAAAAUAUAUUUGCUUCCCAUAAUUUCGAUGAACAUAAAAAGGUUAAGGUUGCGGUUGGUUCUUUCACUGGUUAUGCUUUGGUUUGGUGGAGUGAAUAUUGUCGGUUACACCCU